GUGGGGAAUUGUUCGCAAUGGGCGAAAGCCUGACGACGCAACGCCGCGUGGAGGAUGAAGGUCUUCGGAUUGUAAACUCCUGUUGAUCGGGAAGAACUCCCCUGGGAUUAAUACCUUCAGGGGUUGACGGUACCGGUUGAGGAAGCCCCGGCUAACUCUGUGCCAGCAGCCGCGGUAAUACAGAGGGGGCGAGCGUUGUUCGGAAUUACUGGGCGUAAAGGGCGCGUAGGCGGCCGACUAAGUCAGACGUGAAAUCCCCAGGCUCAACCUGGGAACUGCGUCUGAUACUGGCUGGCUUGAAUCCGGGAGAGGGAUGCGGAAUUCCAGGUGUAGCGGUGAAAUGCGUAGAUAUCUGGAGGAACACCGGUGGCGAAGGCGGCAUCCUGGACCGGCAUUGACGCUGAGGCGCGAAAGCCAGGGGAGCAAACGGGAUUAGAAACCCGGGUAGUCC
This 451-nucleotide ribosomal RNA is filed under the name uncultured bacterium. RNAcentral's name for it is "bacterial SSU rRNA". It matches the Rfam family "Bacterial small subunit ribosomal RNA", at positions 354 to 796 of the family's 1533-position model. The record is from RNAcentral.